Mus pahari (shrew mouse) is the source of this 678-nucleotide RNA transcript. It is a transcript of the gene named GTP-binding nuclear protein Ran, testis-specific isoform-like, with no coding region annotated. NCBI's taxonomy places the organism in Eukaryota, Metazoa, Chordata, Mammalia, Rodentia, Muridae. The record is from RefSeq and is a predicted model, not a curated record. The transcript has a single exon.
UCCGGCAGGAUCGCCGCGAUGGCUGCCCAGGGAGAGCCGCAGGUCCAGUUCAAGGUCGUCCUGGUGGGCGACGGCGGCAUCACCGGAAAGACGACGUUCAUGAAGCGCCACUUGAACGGAGAGUUUGAGAAGGAGUACGUAGUCACCCUGGGCGUGGAGGUGCACACACUAGUCUUCCAGACCAACAGAGGACCUAUCAAGUUCAAUGUGUGGGACACAGCGGGUCAGGAGAAGUUCGGGGGGGGGGGCUGCGCGAUGGCUACUACAUCCAAGCCCAGUGUGCCAUUAUAAUGUUUGACGUAACAUCAAGAGUUACUUACAAGAACGUGCCUAGCUGGCAUAAAGAUCUGGUACGCGUGUGUGAAAACAUCCCCAUUGUAUUGUGUGGCAACAAAGUGGAUAUUAAAGACAUGAAAGUGAAGGCAAAACCUAUUCUCUCCCACCGAAAGAAGAAUCUUCAAUACUAUGACAUUUCUGCCAAAAGUAACUACAACUUUAAAAAACCUUUCUUCUGGCUUGCCAGAAAGCUCAUUGGAGAUCCUAACUUGGAGUUCAUUGCUAUGCCUGCUCUUGCCCCACCUGAGGUGGUCAUGGACCCAGCUUUGGCAGCACAGUACGAGCAUGAUUUAGAGAUCCGCUCAGACAACUGCUCUCCCGGAUGAGGAAGAUGACCUGUGA